This is a long non-coding RNA of Nycticebus coucang (slow loris), 3888 nucleotides long. RefSeq lists it as uncharacterized. The transcript is spliced from 3 exons. The record is from RefSeq and is a predicted model, not a curated record. Lineage: Eukaryota; Metazoa; Chordata; Mammalia; Primates; Lorisidae.
UUCCGGCCCAGCAUAUUUCAACACAAUUCUUAACUUUCAGAGAAUCUCCCCACUUCACCCAGAGCCAGCCUCACUGAGGCAGAACUCAGAAAGUCUGCUGCCCCUGUAGCAGUGGGGACAGGGGGAUUCUCUAAAGAGACUUGAUUUAAAACUUUGGAAAAAAUUUUUGUCAUCUACUUUCCAAUUGCCAACUAAGAGACUUCAGUUCUGGGGCUCAGGAUGGAAAGAUGAAGAUUCCCUCCUUUAUGCAAAAAACCUUAAACAGUCUAGCUGUUUAUUAUGAGGCCACAUAGGAAGUAGAAGGAAUAAGAAGUGGUCUACCUGCCAUUUCCAUCUCAUUGCAAUUAAAAGGAGUAUGGUACCACCCCAAUUUAGAGAGACAGAGUCUCACUUAACCAUCCUCCGUAGAGUGCCAUGAUGUCACAGGACUCACAGCAACCUCCAGCUCUUGGGCUUUCGCGAUUCUCCUGCCUCAGCCUCCCAAGCAGUUGGGACUACAGGCGCCCGCCACAAUACCCGGCUACUUUUUGGUUGCAGUUCAGCUGGGGCUGGGUUUGAACCCGCCACCUUCCGUAUGUGGGGCCAGCGCCCUACUCACUGAGCCACUUUUACCUAAUGGUGACUUCCGACUGGCGGUUCUCUGCAUCUAGAAAUCCUCUUACUGUCUCUCGUUUCCAUCUCCUCCUUAUUCUGCAAAUUCAUCUCUUCUGAGGAAACUUCCUUAGCCACAGAUUGUUUUGAUGCCAAUACCUUUAUCUGUACCUGAGGAGAAUAGAUGAGAUCCCUUGGGAAGAACAUGCCACAUGAAAACAGAAGAAUUGGUUUGUGGGGGACACACAGAAGAAAGAAUGCCCACCAGGGAGAAGGAAGGGGAGCACAGGAAGGAAGGAGAAACCAGGAGAGGAGCCCAGGAGGGAGAGUUUCCGAGGAUUUAUUGCAUGAAUUUCAUGCAAAUAUUGAUAUAGAUCAUUUGACCCAUUAAACUCAAUUUUAAUUUUAUAUAAACAUCUUGGAUGUUUGUAUAUCUUACUUAUUUGGCACAGACAUUAACAAGAGAGUUGUGAGUAGUCUAAAUAAUUUUAAUUUCCCAUUGAUUAUGUAUUAUAUUCACAUAGUUCAAAACUUGGAAACUUUAGAGAUAUGUGAAAUAUAAAAGCCUCAAUGGGCCCAAGUCACCACGGCAGAGAGGACAAGAAAACAGAAAUGAGACCAUUGUGGGUCUGUGUUGGUAUCUGCUCAUAUGUGCAGAGAGUAACACAGGACUGAUUCUAAGAAUCUAAGAACAGGGCUACCUACAGAGGGGAGUGGGGAGCGGCAGAUGGGAGUGGGCCCUGGGCAGAUGCGGAACGUGUAUGGAAGGGAGGCUUUUGUAUUUUGCAUACUUUCUAAAGUUUCCAAGUUUUGAACUAUGUGAAUGUAAUACAUCAUCAAUGAGUGAAAUUAAAAUUAUUUAGACUACUCCCAACUCUGUUAAUGUCCGUGCCAAAUUAGCAAGAUACACAAAUAUCCAAAAUUUUUAAUAAAAUUAAAAUUGAGUUUAAUGGGUCAAAUGACCUAUAUCAAUAUUUGCAUGAAAUUCAUGCAAUUAAUCCUCGGUAAAAAUCAUUAUGGCAUUUGUUAAUUAUACUCUAUUGGAAAACAGAGGAACUUUUCCAAUCCAUUUAAAUAGGGAAACAUUUUAUUUGUAUUUUUAGUAAUUAAUCAUCUCUGGCUCUCAGUCAAGCAAUCAAAAUAUUCUGAAAUCCUAUAAAGCAUUUGCCUAGUGAUACAAAGCUUCUGGACUCUUCUUUCUCCUUUUUUUUUUAAACGUAGCUAAAGCCCCCCAGAAAUACAAGAUUUAAAUAUACCUAAAAAAAGAUCAAAUAUCAUUCUACCGUUUUGAUUACUUACAACCAAACCAUUCCUUUGGCUUCCGAGGAAUAUUUGUUGAGGGUUUUAGUUUCUAAAAGCUCUCUUUAGGUAAUCAAGAGAUUUUUUCUUUCUUCAUUUAUAUGUGACAUAUCCUAUCAUUGUGGAGACUUAGUACUGCCUUCUGAAAUAUGUUUUAAAAUGUAUCGAUCAUAUACAGUAAGUCUUUAAACUAUGAAAAUAUUUUUAUGUCAUUUGUUGUAGUCUCUAUCUCUUUCUGUAUCAAAGUCUCCUGGUGGGAAAAAUUUAGUCCACAGCCGUGUUGGAAUGAUAUCAAACCUGCCAGAUCUUCCUUUCUGGACUCUUUUUUGCUAAAUAAGGGAUUGUUUUUCACUGAUUUUGCCUGAACAGCCUGAUAUCGGUUCCAAUUAUUUCUACUUUUUAAUAAAAAUCCAGAGUUAGAAGCUAUUUGUGAACUCCCUGAAGUUCAGUAAAAAUAAUAGGACUGCACCUAUAUUUUUCAAAAAGCAUAUACAAAUUAUUUUCUUCUAUAUUAAUUUUUCUAAAGCUUCCAAAUAGGUUUUCUAAGAACUUGAACUGAUUUAACCUGUUUAAAUGUAAGACUUUCUCAGAAUAUCCAUGGUUAAGUUUCAUACUUUUAACUAAGAGAAAUCCUAAGUGCAUAUAAAUUAUACUUCAGUUUACUAAGGGCAAAGAUUGAGAAAGAGACAAACUCCAUCUGUAGCGUGGCCUUGUGAAGCCUAAGAGAUGCAUACAGAUACUUAAAAAAUAAUGCUAAAAGCCCAACAUUUGAUUCAUUCUCAUUUUAAGCAUAAAUAUAAUUUUUUCUGUGUCAUUGAAACCAAAAAUAUAAUUAUGAUAGCAUUAUAACCUGUAUUUUAUUAAAUAAGAGAACAUAAACUGACUUUCACAAUUUCGGUUUUCUUUAAGGAUAAAAUUCUAAUCAAAUAAUUUCUUUCCUUACGUGUAUUGAAUUUCUGGAUUGUUUUAGGACAGGUGAGGCUAUCCUGCACCAACAAUCUAAUCCUGAGGUCUCUGUGAUUUAACAUGACAACAAUUCAUUUCCUGUUUAUAAAAACUGCAAUGCAAGAAGGAUCCUUCUGCUCUGUGUGACUCAGGGAUCCAGGCAGCUUCCAUCUGAAGAUACUGGUGUCUCAGCACGCGGACUGGAUGACUGUGGCAAAGGCACCUUCCUUUCCAUUUACAGACCAUGGGCCAGAAUUAGUUUCAUGGCCUUCAACCAAACCAUUUUUUUUUUUGUGUUCAGGAAAAAGAAAAUGAACCAGGACUAGGGAAACACCAAGUAUUACCUUUGCCACAAUUUUAAGCAUAGACCCUUUGAAAAUAUUUUUUCUUGACCAAUUGCCCUUGGAAAAGGAUAUCCAAAUUAGAGCUAUUACUCAUCUUUGAUUCCUUUUGUUCCUGAUGGAAAAUGUUUCAAGAAAGCACAUAAUACCCUCAAACAACUGACCAUUCAGCCAAGGAAUUUGUGAACAUCUCUGGUUUAUCAUUGCCUUAAAGAUUUAACAUCGCGACAUGUUUUAUUAUAAUUGGAUAUUGCAAAUAAGAAUGGGCUAGAGAUGUAAGAAUGUAUCAGUUCAGAGUAUGGCCAAGAGAAUGAAAGUCUCUCAUUGUGAUUGCAGUUUAGCUUUUUUUUUGAGACAGAGUCUCACUAUGUCGCCCUUGGUAGAGUGCCACGGAGUCACAGCUCACAGCAACCUCCAACUCUUGGGCUUAAGCAAUUCUCUUGCCUCAGCCUCCAAGUAGCUGGGGCUACAGGUGCCUACCACAACACCUGGCUAUUUUUUUGUUGCAGUUGUCAUUGUUGUUUAGCUGGCCCUGGCUGGGUUCGAACCGGCCAGCCUCAGUGUAUGUGGCUGGCGCCGUAACUACCGUGCUAUGGGUGCUGAGUUUGUGGUUUAGCUUUUUGAAAAUAUUCCCAUGGAAAAUGGUUUGUAUGUUUCAGAUAAUAAAUAUGGUCUCACAACUUUUACUGCAUUAGUAUUUGAUGGAGUUGAG